Cercocebus atys (sooty mangabey) is the source of this 772-nucleotide long non-coding RNA. RefSeq lists it as uncharacterized. Lineage: Eukaryota; Metazoa; Chordata; Mammalia; Primates; Cercopithecidae. The record is from RefSeq and is a predicted model, not a curated record. The transcript is spliced from 3 exons.
AAGGACACCGACCCGUCCACCUACCGGAUCCACGCCGGGGACGUGUAUCUGUACAGGGGCCGGGGUCUGCUGAACGUCAGCCGGAUCAUCGUCCACCCCAACUACUCUGUCUUCUUCCUGGGGGCAGACAUCGCCCUGCUGAAGCUGGCCACCAGUGUGAGGAAAACACACACUCUCGCGCCGGUGGCUCUGCCGUCACAGUCUCUGGAGUUCACUGACAGUGACAACUGCUAGACCACAGGCUGGGGCAGGGUCAGCUUGUUCGAUACGCUGCCGCCUCCUUACCGCCUGCAGCAGGUGAAGGUCCCCACACUGAGCAACGCAGACUGUGAGCAGCAGAUCCACGAUGCUUUUCCCGGUGCUGGAGACAGAAAGUUCAUCCAGGACGACAUGAUCUGUGCCGGCCACACGGGCCGCCGCAUCUGGAAGGGUGACUCAGGCGGCCCCCUGGUCUGCAAGAAGAAAGGUACCUGGCUCCAGGCGGGAGUGGUGAGCUGGGGAUUUAACAGUCAUCAGCCCAGCAUUGGCGUCUACACACGAGUCCAGACCUACGUGCCCUGGAUCCUGCAGCAAAUGCGCCUCUAAGCCCCGGGCCCCUCCCAGCUCCCUAAAAUCCAGCUCAUUCCUCGUCUUGGCCACUCCACUCCCUGCUUCUUCCAGCACCCACCUUCUCUGCUCCUCCAUCCCACAUGGUCCUCACUUCCCUCCGCCUUUUCAGACCUGCACCUUCCUCCCUCACACUGGGAGGAGGAGGCAUGGAAGGUGCUUUGAA